Long non-coding RNA from Musa acuminata AAA Group (dessert banana), 773 nucleotides. RefSeq lists it as uncharacterized. The transcript has 4 exons. NCBI's taxonomy places the organism in Eukaryota, Viridiplantae, Streptophyta, Magnoliopsida, Zingiberales, Musaceae. The record is from RefSeq and is a predicted model, not a curated record.
GAAGGACGCGUUACCUUCCCCUAAAUCCACCGUCUCUGUAGUUGCGAUUUAAUGAUCCCCUCACAUCCGUGCGUCGCCACCAACAGCGAAAUAGGAGCGGGCGAGGAAGACGAGAUCGAGAGACGGAGCUUCACUCGUGCCACCCAGUUGUCCCGCUCGUCGAAAACCCCUACCUUUGCUCCUCAGGCGAUCGAUCCCGUCGUCGGGCCCUGCCCCCAGAUAAGAGUUUUUGGUCCUUCCGCAGCUACUCAAGUGCUCGGCCUAUUGUCAGAGCUGGAAUGGAGGGCAUAAAUGAGCAUGCUUCUGAUGAUUCUUGGUGUGAUGAUGGGCUUCUGAAUGAAAUCCCAGAUGCUGACUUAAACAGAGAACAGAAGAGGCGUUAUGAUCAAUUUUAUACAGUAUCCUUGCAAUCUAUAAAUGAUAUGAAAUCCUUUGUCCAAAACUCUUCAUAGUAAAACUUUUAGGGCUUUAAACUUGAGGAUGUAUCAUAUGGAACCCUUGACAAAAGUUUAUAUGGGUUAUCGAGAUGGUAUAUCUGCAGGAAAGGAAGCUUCUGCCCAAGAGGGCUUCAACAUUGGAUUUAAGCAAUCUGCAAGCAGUGGUUACAAAUGGGGAAUUGUUAGAGGCAUCACAAGUGCAUUUGUAAACCUCCCAGAUCAAUUCAAAGAAAAGUUAGUAAAGAAGCUUGAAGACAGAGGCACGUUUCAAAGUCUUUACAAGCCUGUUCAAGAGAUUUCCACGGACGAUGCUCUGCGAAUGUGUCACUUUCAACU